This 231-nucleotide ribosomal RNA is filed under the name Staphylococcus aureus. RNAcentral describes it as "partial 23S ribosomal RNA". It matches the Rfam family "Bacterial large subunit ribosomal RNA", at positions 1077 to 1312 of the family's 2925-position model. The record is from RNAcentral. Lineage: Bacteria; Bacillati; Bacillota; Bacilli; Caryophanales; Staphylococcaceae.
GGCGUUGCCCAGACAACUAGGAUGUUGGCUUAGAAGCAGCCAUCAUUUAAAGAGUGCGUAAUAGCUCACUAGUCGAGUGACACUGCGCCGAAAAUGUACCGGGGCUAAACAUAUUACCGAAGCUGUGGAUUGUCCUUUGGACAAUGGUAGGAGAGCGUUCUAAGGGCGUUGAAGCAUGAUCGUAAGGACAUGGGGAGCGCUUAGAAGUGAGAAUGCCGGUGUGAGUAGCGA